UACGAAGGGGGCUAGCGUUGCUCGGAAUGACUGGGCGUAAAGGGCGCGUAGGCGGUUUGUACAGUCAGAUGUGAAAUUCCUGGGCUCAACCUGGGGGCUGCAUUUGAUACGUGCGGACUAGAGUGGGGAAGAGGGUCGUGGAAUUCCCAGUGUAGAGGUGAAAUUCGUAGAUAUUGGGAAGAACACCGGUGGCGAAGGCGGCGACCUGGUCCUUGACUGACGCUGAGGCGCGAAAGCGUGGGGAGCAAACAGG
RNAcentral lists this ribosomal RNA (253 nucleotides) under uncultured bacterium. RNAcentral's name for it is "partial 16S ribosomal RNA". It matches the Rfam family "Bacterial small subunit ribosomal RNA", at positions 524 to 776 of the family's 1533-position model. The record is from RNAcentral.